This 75-nucleotide transfer RNA is filed under the name Schistocerca americana (American grasshopper). Its description in RNAcentral is "tRNA-Thr". It matches the Rfam family "tRNA". Rfam says of the family: Transfer RNA (tRNA) molecules are approximately 80 nucleotides in length. Their secondary structure includes four short double-helical elements and three loops (D, anti-codon, and T loops). Lineage: Eukaryota; Metazoa; Arthropoda; Insecta; Orthoptera; Acrididae. The record is from RNAcentral.
GCACUCGGUAGCUCAGAUGGAUAGAGCGUCUGCCAUGUAAGCAGGAGGUCCCGGGUUCGAGUCCCGCUCGGGGCA